GAUGAACGCUGGCGGCGUGCCUAAUACAUGCAAGUCGAGCGAACAGACGAGGAACUUGCUCCUCUGAUGUUAGCGGCGGACGGGUGAGUAACACGUGGAUAACCUACCUAUAAGACUGGGAUAACUUCGGGAAACCGGAGCUAAUACCGGAUAACAUGUUGAACCGCAUGGUUCAACAGUGAAAGACGGUCUUGCUGUCACUUAUAGAUGGAUCCGCGCCGCAUUAGCUAGUUGGUAAGGUAACGGCUAACCAAGGCAACGAUCCGUAGCCGACGUGAGAGGGUGAUCGGCCACACUGGAACUGAGACACGCUCCAGACUCCUAAGGGAGGCACCAGUAGGGAAUCUUCCGAAAUGGGCGAAAGCCUGACGGAGCAACGCCGCGUGAGUGAAGAAGGUCUUCGGAUCGUAAAACUCUGUUAUUAGGGAAAAACAAAUGUGUAAGUAACUAUGCACGUCUUGACGGUACCUAAUCAGAAAGCCACGGCUAACUACGUG
This 497-nucleotide ribosomal RNA is filed under the name uncultured bacterium. RNAcentral's name for it is "partial 16S ribosomal RNA". It matches the Rfam family "Bacterial small subunit ribosomal RNA", at positions 28 to 507 of the family's 1533-position model. The record is from RNAcentral.